Molecule: ribosomal RNA, 867 nt
Filed under: Macrobrachium olfersii
Lineage: Eukaryota; Metazoa; Arthropoda; Malacostraca; Decapoda; Palaemonidae
Description: SSU rRNA
Rfam family: Eukaryotic small subunit ribosomal RNA
Source: RNAcentral
UGGUAGUGACGAAAAAUAACAAUGCGGGACUCUUCCGAGUCUGCGUAAUUGGAAUGAGUCCACUUUAAAUCCUUUAGCAACAACCAAUUGGAGGGCAAGUCUGGUGCCAGCAGCCGCGGUAAUUCCAGCUCCAAUAGCGUAUAUUAAAGUUGUUGCGGUUAAAAAGCUCGUAGUUCGAGGUCAGUUCCGGACUGGUGUGGGAGGUCACCGCCCGGUGCUUCCCCGUCAGGCUCCGAACAGCUUCCUUGUGUGGAAGCCAAGCCGGUUCUGCCGGGGUGCUCUUUACCGAGUGUCCCGCGCGGCCGGCCAGUUCACCUUGAAUAAAUGAGAGUGCUCAAAGCAGGCUACUCUGGAAUACAAUGCCCGAAUGUUAGCUGCAUGGAAUGAUGGAAGAUGAUCUCGGUUCCAUUUUGUUGGUGGUGGGAGCCCGAGGUAAUGAUAAACAGGGACUGUCGGGGGCAUCCGUACUACGACGCGAGAGGUGAAAUUCAGUGACCGUCGUAGGACGAACAACAGCGAAAGCAUUUGCCAAGAAUGUCUUCGUUGAUCAAGAACGAAAGUUAGAGGAUCGAAGGCGAUCAGAUACCGCCCUAGUUCUAACCCUAAACGAUGCUGACUAGCAAUUCGCCGUCGUUAUUCCCAUGACGUGGCGAGACGCCCCCGGGAAACCUCAAGUCUUUGAGUUCCGGGGGUAGUAUGGUUGCAAAACUGAAACUUAAAGGAAUUGACGGAAGGGCACCACCAGGAGUGGAGCCUGCGGCUUAAUUUGACUCAACACGGGAAAGCUCACCAGGCCCGGACACCAGAAGGAUUGACAGAUUAAGAGCUCUUUCUCGAUUUGGUGGGUGGUGGUGCAUGGCCGUUCUU